AUUACAGUACUCUAUAACUGGGUUGACUUGUAUUGAAUUCUUUUACAUUUAGGUAAUUAAGUUUAUAAAUUAUGCUAUUUAGUAAAUUUUAUGAAACAAUAUACAUAAAUCAAUUAUGUAAAUAACUAUUUAAUUUUAUAAUAUUUGAUUUAGUUUAGAUGUUACAAUGUUUAACAUCUGAUGAUUCCAUAUGGCAUCAUUAGGAUGUACAUAAUAUAUUUAUUUUAAAUAUUUAUACUGUCAUGACUGCAAAAUGUGUAUUUUGUUUACAUUUAUUAUUCAAUAAUUCUUUAUUAUAAUAAAUAAUAAUUAUUAUUGUUAUUCAGUAUACAUUAUAGCUAUCAGUGAUGAAUAGAUUGCAAAAACAUACUGAGUGAAGAUUUGUCAGACAUAAAGAAAUUUGAAGGCAGAUGAAGAGGACAUUGAUUUGUUGAAUACAUUCAGACACGGAUAACUUAAUGCACCAAAAUGAGCUGCAAUUAUAUAAUUUGGUAAAUUUAUUUUUAAUUUGUAUUAUUAUUAUUGUUAUUUAAAAAAUAUAUAACUGAUUUUGGAUUAAAUCUUUGGUAAUAUUCCAUUCAAUAGGUCAGAUUCAACACUUUUAGGAAAAGAUGACGAGUUAAAAUAAUGAAAAUUUGGAAGAUGAUCUUUAUAAAGAUGUACCUAACAAUUGUAUAGAAAAUAUAUCAAUGAGAUCUAUAUGGAUAAGUGGUACAUGGGAAAAUCAAAAUUAUUAAUGUGAUGUUCAGUUUAUACCACCACUUCCUAAUUAAUUUACUUUUUUUCCUUUUGAAUUUUCAAAAAAUGUUUUGAUUUUGAAAUGAUAAAAAUUUAUCAAACUAAUUUUAAUCCAACUACAAAAUCUGGGUUCUCUAUAAAUAAUAAUGAAAUUGAG
Non-coding RNA from Cinara cedri, 895 nucleotides. Lineage: Eukaryota; Metazoa; Arthropoda; Insecta; Hemiptera; Aphididae. The record is from the annotation of a GenBank genome assembly.